CUUAUAUGAAGAAAAAAGUCUGUCAAAAUAGGGAUUUGGAAAGGGGAGGGGGAAGCAGGAAGUCUUCCUGUUGGCAUUUAUUAGAAGGGAAAUGAAUGUUUUAUGUUCGGGGGCCCUGCUGGAUGUGCAGUGCUCGGGGACAGUGGUGUGGUGAAAGCCUCCUCACUUCUUGAGUGCAGGGUGCGAAUGUGAUCUGGAAUAAACAAGAAAGGGCUAAAUAUAGAAGCCUCUGGCUCCCAUCCUGCGAUGGUGGCUCUGCCCUCACUGCAGUCCUGGAGGCAGCAAGUUCUGCCUAUUGUUCCGGUCACAUUCUUGUGUCCCACGAUGGGGCCUCUGUGAUGGAAUAAAAUGAAGAGAAACAGAUGGGAAAACAAUAACCCAAGGAACAGGCCCUAAGCUUUGCUGGAAGCUUCCAAAAACCCAUAAAUCCUCAAAUGCAUUUGUGCUGGAUUAGGGAACUGAAGCAAAGCAAGGGCCAAGUACUUGCCUGCCUUUAUCCCAUGUGCUCUUGUUGUACAGGGGCCGCUCUCUAUAGGGGCUCUACCUUGCAACAAAUGCUUGUAGUGGCAACUCUGUUUCUUUAAUCUUUUAAUUCUGGCAACUUCUCCCCUUGUCCUUCCUCUAUAUUUCCUGACCUUUUUGUCUUGCAGGCCCCUGGAUAAAGUGACUGCACAAGGAGCCAGCCCACCUUCCCAUCCUCCUCAUGGACAACAGAGCUGGAACCCUUGCAAGGCAGUGGUGCAGUCUUUCCGAGUUUCUGGAUUCCCUGCAUCUGUGAGGAGCAGUUCUGCUGCCAACUUCAUCCCUCUUCCUUCACAGAAGAAAGACUUCUGAGCUUGCCGACAGUCGCCCAGUCAUGUGGGACAGUGGCAGGGAUGUAACUACAGAGAAGUGCAUAUGCUUGUCUCCUGGGAGCCACCACAGCUCUGCAGAAGUGCUCUCAAUAGCCACCAGUGGGUCUCUGGGAUCCCUGAAUUUCUGCAGUUUGCAAGAGUCGUCCCUGUCUUUGUGCAUGAAGCACAGGCCAGAGGUGCCUGCUGCCCCUUUGACAUCUUCUCAGCAGGACUGAUGGUGGCCAGGCUUU
RNAcentral lists this long non-coding RNA (1084 nucleotides) under Calidris pugnax (ruff). RNAcentral's name for it is "lncRNA (ENSCPUG00000006899.1)". Lineage: Eukaryota; Metazoa; Chordata; Aves; Charadriiformes; Scolopacidae. The record is from RNAcentral.